Molecule: long non-coding RNA, 1279 nt
Filed under: Triticum aestivum (bread wheat)
Lineage: Eukaryota; Viridiplantae; Streptophyta; Magnoliopsida; Poales; Poaceae
Description: long non-coding RNA (TAES_LNC013734)
Source: RNAcentral
UGUUUUUUUUACUCCUAGGUUUUUCCACGUUAAAUUUUUUUAGCCACGUGUGCAUGUUGUUUCUGUUUAUUCUGUUGCUUACCUGUUGGUUGAACUAGUCCUCAAAAUUCAUUACAAGUUGAGGAGGUUGUAUUGUGCAUAAUGGUUGCGUCGAUGAAUUGGUGCAUUGCUUUGUUGUUUUCAUUGCUCAUCAAAGUGGCACAAGAAAGUUGUCCAAGGCAUAGUUUUCAUGGACUCCAUAGCCCACCAAGCAAAACACAUACGACCAACUAAAACAAAAAGUUCCAUUAAAAAGUGUUUUACAUUUUCCACACGGUUUCAUUUUUAGAGGAAAUAGUAGGUGAAUUAACCUAUUGGCUAAUGCAUAUUUUUCAUUAGAUUAUGUACAUUACUAAUAAAUAAAAACUACAAGGACUGGCAAGACUGGCCAGCCAGCUAGGCGGGUCACAAGGUUUUCUCCUAGUUUGCAACAAACCUUCUCCAGCCAGCUAUGGGGAUCACAAGAUUUUCUCAUAGCUUUGCGACAAACCUUCUCUGGGAAUAUAAGGUUUUCAUGAGGCUGAUCAUGAGCAAGCAUCAUUAAAAAAACAAUUUGGCAUAGAAAGUCUCAAAUUCAAGAUCUUCACCCACACCAAAAGGACCAGCAUGGCAGCUAAGUUACAUUUUUAGAGGACACUUGGCAUAAGCUAGAAUUCUGCUCCCUUAAAAAGCAUGCCUUGUUCAAAGUCAUUAGCAUCAAACAGCACUGCCCAUUUUCAGGCUAAUCAUUUUUGCUUUUGAUAGACUCACCGAUUCAGCAUUACUAGCCUACAACUCGACUCUUUGAAGCCGUGCAGCAAUAUUUAAACGUCACUACAACUUCUAGUUUACGGACUAUAUACCAAUGUGUAGUGACUUGAAGAUGUGGUUUAAAUUAAAGCAUAAGCAAGAUUAAAAAAAAUCAGGCAACUUAUGUUAGUUUUUUGCAGAUCACAGGCGAAAUGCUGACAGCGGAACAACACAGGGCAAAGCACAAGUUUCGGUUUCCUAGGCAUUAACUCUGCUCAGCUGCAGAACGCCCAAAUGUUGCAAUCAUGAAUGAACUUACUGUGGUACAUCUUCAGUUCGACACAAGAUAAUUUAGGGCUACAGCUACAGCUUAAAGUAGUACAACUACAACUCAAUUUCAACGACGCAACAAAUUUCCUCAGGAAACAGGCUGCAGUGUCAGCACUACUUAUACACACACAUCAGAUGGCCAGAGGGUUUCCAUGGUAGUUCCAUCAUUUCGGUUCAGCUC